AAAGAUGAGAGAGAUGUUGUCCAUGAUCAGAGACAUUGUCCCAUGCUUCGUAGAGACCUUGCGAUAGAAUCGGCGGAGACGGGGGUCACCGAUUUGACGGCACUGCCCGCGAUCGUGGAGACAUUGUCGAUGAUCACAGAGACAGCGUCUAUGAUCUCAGAGACAUCGUCCACGAUCACAAAGGCAUUGUCCGUGAUUGCAGAGACUUUGUCCAUAAUCUCAGAGACAUUGUCCGCGAUCACAGAGACGUAGUCCACGAUCACAUAGAGUCUUCGUAAAAUGAAGAAGUUCUUUGAGACCAGGACAGAGGCCUCCAGGUGUCACCACUUCGUCUACGAUCACAGAGACAUGGUCCAUGAUCGGAGAGACAUUGUUGAGGAUGAGGGAGACAUCGUCCACGAUCAGAGACGCUGUCCACGAUCGCAGAGACCUUGUCAAAGAUGAGAGAGACGUUGUCCGUGAUCAGAGACAUUGUCCCAUGCUUCGUAGAGACCUUGCGAUAGAAUCGGCGGAGACGGGGGUCACCGAUUUGACGGCACUGCCCGCGAUCGUGGAGACAUUGUCGAUGAUCACAGAGACAGCGUCUAUGAUCUCAGAGACAUCGUCCACGAUCACAAAGGCAUUGUCCGUGAUUGCAGAGACUUUGUCCAUAAUCUCAGAGACAUUGUCCGCGAUCACAGAGACGUAGUCCACGAUCACAUAGAGUCUUCGUAAAAUGAAGAAGUUCUUUGAGACCAGGACAGAGGCCUCCAGGUGUCACCACUUCGUCUACGAUCACAGAGACAUGGUCCAUGAUCGGAGAGACAUUGUUGAGGAUGAGGGAGACAUCGUCCACGAUCAGAGACGCUGUCCACGAUCGCAGAGACCUUGUCAAAGAUGAGAGAGACGUUGUCCGUGAUCAGAGACAUUGUCCCAUGCUUCGUAGAGACCUUGCGAUAGAAUCGGCGGAGACGGGGGUCACCGAUUUGACGGCACUGCCCGCGAUCGUGGAGACAUUGUCGAUGAUCACAGAGACAGCGUCUAUGAUCUCAGAGACAUCGUCCACGAUCACAAAGGCAUUGUCCGUGAUUGCAGAGACUUUGUCCAUAAUCUCAGAGACAUUGUCCGCGAUCACAGAGACGUAGUCCACGAUCACAUAGAGUCUUCGUAAAUGAAGAAGUUCUUUGAGACCAGGACAGAGGCCUCCAGGUGUCACCACUUCGUCUACGAUCACAGAGACAUGGUCCAUGAUCGGAGAGACAUUGUUGAGGAUGAGGGAGACAUCGUCCACGAUCAGAGACGCUGUCCACGAUCGCAGAGACCUUGUCAAAGAUGAGAGAGACGUUGUCCGUGAUCAGAGACAUUGUCCCAUGCUUCGUAGAGACCUUGCGAUAGAAUCGGCGGAGACGGGGGUCACCGAUUUGACGGCACUGCCCGCGAUCGUGGAGACAUUGUCGAUGAUCACAGAGACAGCGUCUAUGAUCUCAGAGACAUCGUCCACGAUCACAAAGGCAUUGUCCGUGAUUGCAGAGACUUUGUCCAUAAUCUCAGAGACAUUGUCCGCGAUCACAGAGACGUAGUCCACGAUCACAUAGAGUCUUCGUAAAAUGAAGAAGUUCUUUGAGACCAGGACAGAGGCCUCCAGGUGUCACCACUUCGUCUACGAUCACAGAGACAUGGUCCAUGAUCGGAGAGACAUUGUUGAGGAUGAGGGAGACAUCGUCCACGAUCAGAGACGCUGUCCACGAUCGCAGAGACCUUGUCAAAGAUGAGAGAGACGUUGUCCGUGAUCAGAGACAUUGUCCCAUGCUUCGUAGAGACCUUGCGAUAGAAUCGGCGGAGACGGGGGUCACCGAUUUGACGGCACUGCCCGCGAUCGUGGAGACAUUGUCGAUGAUCACAGAGACAGCGUCUAUGAUCUCAGAGACAUCGUCCACGAUCACAAAGGCAUUGUCCGUGAUUGCAGAGACUUUGUCCAUAAUCUCAGAGACAUUGUCCGUGAUCACAGAGACGUAGUCCACGAUCACAUAGAGUCUUCGUAAAAUGAAGAAGUUCUUUGAGACCAGGACAGAGGCCUCCAGGUGUCACCACUUCGUCUACGAUCACAGAGACAUGGUCCAUGAUCGGAGAGACAUUGUUGAGGAUGAGGGAGACAUCGUCCACGAUCAGAGACGCUGUCCACGAUCGCAGAGACCUUGUCAAAGAUGAGAGAGACGUUGUCCGUGAUCAGAGACAUUGUCCCAUGCUUCGUAGAGACCUUGCGAUAGAAUCGGCGGAGACGGGGGUCACCGAUUUGACGGCACUGCCCGCGAUCGUGGAGACAUUGUCGAUGAUCACAGAGACAGCGUCUAUGAUCUCAGAGACAUCGUCCACGAUCACAAAGGCAUUGUCCGUGAUUGCAGAGACUUUGUCCAUAAUCUCAGAGACAUUGUCCGCGAUCACAGAGACGUAGUCCACGAUCACAUAGAGUCUUCGUAAAAUGAAGAAGUUCUUUGAGACCAGGACAGAGGCCUCCAGGUGUCACCACUUCGUCUACGAUCACAGAGACAUGGUCCAUGAUCGGAGAGACAUUGUUGAGGAUGAGGGAGACAUCGUCCACGAUCAGAGACGCUGUCCACGAUCGCAGAGACCUUGUCAAAGAUGAGAGAGACGUUGUCCGUGAUCAGAGACAUUGUCCCAUGCUUCGUAGAGACCUUGCGAUAGAAUCGGCGGAGACGGGGGUCACCGAUUUGACGGCACUGCCCGCGAUCGUGGAGACAUUGUCGAUGAUCACAGAGACAGCGUCUAUGAUCUCAGAGACAUCGUCCACGAUCACAAAGGCAUUGUCCGUGAUUGCAGAGACUUUGUCCAUAAUCUCAGAGACAUUGUCCGCGAUCACAGAGACGUAGUCCACGAUCACAUAGAGUCUUCGUAAAAUGAAGAAGUUCUUUGAGACCAGGACAGAGGCCUCCAGGUGUCACCACUUCGUCUACGAUCACAGAGACAUGGUCCAUGAUCGGAGAGACAUUGUUGAGGAUGAGGGAGACAUCGUCCACGAUCAGAGACGCUGUCCACGAUCGCAGAGACCUUGUCAAAGAUGAGAGAGACGUUGUCCGUGAUCAGAGACAUUGUCCCAUGCUUCGUAGAGACCUUGCGAUAGAAUCGGCGGAGACGGGGGUCACCGAUUUGACGGCACUGCCCGCGAUCGUGGAGACAUUGUCGAUGAUCACAGAGACAGCGUCUAUGAUCUCAGAGACAUCGUCCACGAUCACAAAGGCAUUGUCCGUGAUUGCAGAGACUUUGUCCAUAAUCUCAGAGACAUUGUCCGUGAUCACAGAGACGUAGUCCACGAUCACAUAGAGUCUUCGUAAAAUGAAGAAGUUCUUUGAGACCAGGACAGAGGCCUCCAGGUGUCACCACUUCGUCUACGAUCACAGAGACAUGGUCCAUGAUCGGAGAGACAUUGUUGAGGAUGAGGGAGACAUCGUCCACGAUCAGAGACGCUGUCCACGAUCGCAGAGACCUUGUCAAAGAUGAGAGAGACGUUGUCCGUGAUCAGAGACAUUGUUCCAUGCUUCG
Molecule: long non-coding RNA, 3537 nt
Organism: Lates calcarifer (barramundi perch)
Lineage: Eukaryota; Metazoa; Chordata; Actinopteri; Centropomidae
Exons: 9
Source: RefSeq, a predicted model, not a curated record